GGGGAUUUAGCUCAGUUGUGCAGCACCUGCCUGGCAAGCAUGAGGUCCUGAGUUCAAUUCCCGGUUACCCCC
Molecule: transfer RNA, 72 nt
Filed under: Cavia porcellus (domestic guinea pig)
Lineage: Eukaryota; Metazoa; Chordata; Mammalia; Rodentia; Caviidae
Rfam family: tRNA
About the family: Transfer RNA (tRNA) molecules are approximately 80 nucleotides in length.
Source: Rfam by way of RNAcentral